Molecule: long non-coding RNA, 287 nt
Filed under: Ananas comosus (pineapple)
Lineage: Eukaryota; Viridiplantae; Streptophyta; Magnoliopsida; Poales; Bromeliaceae
Description: long non-coding RNA (ACOM_LNC015580)
Source: RNAcentral
GCCAAUACCGUCCGCUCCUCCCUUUGUGUCAAUCCCGAUCUCCUCCGCCACACCACUAUCCACGACCUCCUCUCUACACUCCACAUCGCCGUCGUAAACGGUCGCGUCGAGGUCGGCUUCGUUUAAUCGCUUCUUUCUCUCUUUUGUGAUUUUUUUGUUACUUUUUUUUUGUUGGAGAUGAAGGAGAUGGGAGAAUUUCCGAAGAUGCAGAGAAAGAGAGAGGAGAAGAGUUGGCGGAUAUGGUGGGUGGUGUACUGGAACCUGUAGUCGAGAAUGAGGAUGAGGUU